CAUUUCGGCACCAACAGUAUCUUUAUUAAUUACGACGGACCAAAUAGUAAAAAUGAUCAUUAACAGCCGAAAACGACUUUACCCCUCUCUACGUUCACCCAAACAAACAAGCCCUCGAUUGCUCAUCUUCUCCUAUCUCGCUCCUCAGCUACACCCGAUCCUCUCACCCACUUCCCCAAUCUAGCUCUUCUCUCUCUCUCUCUUUCUCUCUCUCUCUCCCCUCUUUGUUCCUCCUCCUCUAUAUUCGCUACAACAGAAUUAAAUUAUAGAGACACAUGUUUGGAAUAUUUUUGUGUAACUGUCUCAUUUAUACCAAAAUGUUUUAAAAAAUACACUAAUGUGUAAAUAUAAAGUCCAAUCCAAUCAAAAAUAAAAUGUUACUCUACUCGACCGACCUCACCCAACCUAUUCGGCCCGGCUACAAAAA
This 427-nucleotide long non-coding RNA is filed under the name Ananas comosus (pineapple). Its description in RNAcentral is "long non-coding RNA (ACOM_LNC020073)". The record is from RNAcentral. Lineage: Eukaryota; Viridiplantae; Streptophyta; Magnoliopsida; Poales; Bromeliaceae.